This 1523-nucleotide long non-coding RNA is filed under the name Macaca fascicularis (crab-eating macaque). Its description in RNAcentral is "lncRNA (ENSMFAG00000055433.1)". The record is from RNAcentral. Lineage: Eukaryota; Metazoa; Chordata; Mammalia; Primates; Cercopithecidae.
GCUGUAUGAAUGUCUUCUUUUGAGAAAUGUCUGUUCAUAUCCUUUGCCCACUUUUUGAUGGGGUUGUUUGUUUUUUCUUGUAAAUUUGUUUGAGUUCUUUGUAGGUUCUGGAUAUUAGCCCUUUGUCAGAUGAGUAGAUUGCAAAAAUUUUCUCCCAUUCUGUAGGUUGCCUGUUCACUCUGAUGGUAGUUUCUUUUGCUGUGCAGAAGCUCUUUAGUUAAAAGAAACUUUUAAUAUAGAAAGGGAAAAGUCUUAGGAAGGUAGAUUUCACUCCCCACUUCCAUGACUCAUUAAGCAAAAUCUGUCAAGGCAGGUCUGGGGACUUUGCAUUGACAUUUCUUCACCAGUAUUAGCUUCCCAAAGGUCAAAGAGUAGGUGCUUACAUGUGCAUAACCAGAACAUUCCAAAGAGUGAACUCGCCCAGAAGCGAGAGUGGUAUGCCUCAAAGAAAAAUUCUCACUUCCUUACUUAAGUACAGGGCAAAAAAAAAAAAAAAAAAAAAAAAAAUCACAAUAAGCUUAGAACAUACCCAUUUUGUUCCAGUUUCAGUAAACCAAAUAUUGAAAUGUUCAGCUGUAGAGCAGUUUUUUCAAAACUUGGGGACGAUGUGACUAAGUACAGAUAGCCAAUGGCAAAUAUUUGUCAUCCGUGUGUAUUACUACUAAUAAUGAAUACUUAUUGAGUGAGUACUAUAUGCCAGGGAUGGUGCUUAGCACUUUACAUGCAUUCUCUUCUUUAAUCCUCGGAAAAUUUUAUGGAAAGGCACAAUGAUGCAUUCAGGGUGUGGUUUAGGGUGUGGCUGGCUUGGCGCCCAAAUCCUACCAUUUAUUCUUCCUCUUCUCCAGAGUUCCCAGCCAAAGAGCAUAUUCACCAAAGAAUCAGCAGCCAUAUGGACACCUAUGCUAUACAAGCUCUCGCCACGGAUGUGAUAGUGAGUCCACAGAGCUGGAUAAGACCCAGGACUUCGAAGAGAACUAGUGGGAAAAUAUGAAACAUAUGUAUAGAAUUCUCCUAAAAAUAAUUCAUUUUGAUACUUAAUAUGUAACAAUAAUGUGAAUAAUUAUAAUUGAAGGCAGCAUGAUAUAAGGGCCAUUAAAAUAUAUGGGCAAGUGGUUAUUCCAGUUGAGGCAAUAAGGAAGCGAUCUGGGAAAUUUUGAUUACAUUUUGAUAUAUGACAAGUAGAGAAUGGUUUUGUUACAAAAGGAAAAAUGGUAGGACUCAUGUCUUUGCAAGUGGCAAGUUGAAUUUGACGUUGUUUGACCUGAAUGUCAAACAUAGGCACACAUUCAGGGGAUACAAAUAGUGAGCCUGGUUGCUCAUGUCAAAAAUUUCAAACUAUAUUUCAUAGGCAGUGAAAAAUUUUUGAAGAGUUCUGAUUAGGGGAACCCUGUGAUUAGAAAGUGACUUAAGAACCUAUCGGCAAUAUAAAGAUUUGAAUUGGAGACAGGCAAGAAAAGAGGCAAGGAAGGCAGCUGGAAUUCUCUUUGACUAGCCUAGAGGCGAGGUGGACAUGUACAGUCCUU